AGAAUCAACGCUGGCGGCGUGCCUAACACAUGCAAGUCGAACGAGAAAGUGGAGCAAUCCAUGAGUAAAGUGGCGUACGGGUGAGUAACACGUGACUAACCUACCCUCGAGUGGGGAAUAACCUCGGGAAACCGGGCUAAUACCGCAUAACAUCUUCGGAUCAAAUGCGUAAGCAGCUUGAGGAGGGGUCGCGGCCGAUUAGCUAGUUGGCGGGGUAAUGGCCCACCAAGGCAAUGAUCGGUA
Molecule: ribosomal RNA, 243 nt
Filed under: uncultured bacterium
Lineage: Bacteria
Description: partial small subunit ribosomal RNA
Rfam family: Bacterial small subunit ribosomal RNA
Source: RNAcentral